GACUUUAGAAAUCGUGAGGGUUCAAGUCCCUCUAUCCCCAAA
Molecule: transfer RNA, 42 nt
Filed under: Knautia macedonica
Lineage: Eukaryota; Viridiplantae; Streptophyta; Magnoliopsida; Dipsacales; Caprifoliaceae
Also listed under: 1 other name
Description: partial tRNA-Leu
Source: RNAcentral